CGUUCAGGGGUAAACCUGCGAAACUCGAAUGAACGAACGGGGAGAUUCAUCGUCAUUCCGCCGGAGCUGCGGCGGCGAUUCGAUGCGGCUGGCGGCGUGCGUUCGCGCGCGUCCUUCAGUCGCACGUUCGCCGUCCGUACGCGUCCGCGGACGGCGUGCACUUCUCCCUUAGUAAGACAUCGCGACCCGUUCGACGUCGGCCUAAGCGCCGCCGCGGAGCUCCGGCUGCACCUCGCCGUGCGGCCGGAACGCGGCGGACGCCGGUCGGCCGUCGGACGGUAGCCAACGUGAAACGCGCACGCGCUCGUCGCGUCCGGCCCGACGCAAGGCGUCGCCGUAUCCGAAGUCCUGCCCCAGUUGCGGUCUUCGGUGCGGCGCGCCUGCCCGUCGCUGCCGUGCAGUCUCGGACCGUGCGCGUCUCGGUCGGCGGUGAUUUCGUUUCGGGCACUCGCAGGACCCGUCUUGAAACACGGACCAAGGAGUCUAGCAUGUGUGCGAGUCAUUGAGAUUUAUAAAACUGAAAGGCGCAACGAAAGUGAAGGCGCGCGCUGGUCGCGCGCUCGGGGAGGAUGGAGGUCGAUCUCGCGUCGGCCUCUCGCACUCCCGAGGCGUCUCGUUCGCAAUCCGUCGAUGCAGGCGCGCUCAGAGCACAAAUGCUGGGACCCGAAAGAUGGUGAACUAUGCCUGGUCAGGUCGAAGUCAGGGGAAACCCUGAUGGAGGACCGUAGCGAUUCUGACGUGCAAAUCGAUCGUCGGAACUGGGUAUAGGGGCGAAAGACUAAUCGAACCAUC
Molecule: ribosomal RNA, 792 nt
Filed under: Hoplophanes sp. Leucopogon5AusWA
Lineage: Eukaryota; Metazoa; Arthropoda; Insecta; Lepidoptera; Heliozelidae
Description: eukaryotic LSU rRNA
Rfam family: Eukaryotic large subunit ribosomal RNA (bases 474-792)
Source: RNAcentral